GUUAUUCCUGUACUGCAGUAUAACAGAACUGUGGGGACACGUAAGGAGAGCGGGAGCCGGGAAUGGAAAGCCCGGUACAAGCGAGGUACCAGUAUGGUAGGAAAAUCCGCCAUGCAAUGGGAAGACGUGAUGUGGAGUGAAAUAUAGUAACGAAGCCCGUGAGCCAUGCGUCAAGAAAAGCCGCUAUUGUUUAUAUUGUACCCGUACCGUAAACCGACACAGGUGGAUGAGGAGAGAAUCCUAAGGCCGGCGGAAGAAGUAUUGCCAAGGAACUCGGCAAAAUGGCCCCGUAACUUAGGGAGAAGGGGUGCCUGCGAGAGCAGGCCGCAGAGAAUAGGCUCAAGCAACUGUUUAGCAAAAACACAGGUCUAUGCGAAACCGAAAGGUGAGGUAUAUGGGCUGACGCCUGCCCGGUGCUGGAAGGUUAAGAGGAGAGGUUAGACGCAAGUCGAAGCUUUGAAUUUAAGCCCCAGUAAACGGCGGCCGUAACAAUAACGGUCCUAAGGUAGCGAAAUUCCUUGUCGGGUAAGUUCCGACCCGCACGAAAGGCGUAAUGAUUUGAGCGCUGUCUCGGCAAUACAUCCGGUGAAAUUGAAGUGCCAGUGAAGAUGCUGGCUACCCGCGCCAGGACGGAAAGACCCCAUAGAGCUUUACUCCAGUUUGGCACUGGGGUCCGGUGUUGCAUGUACAGGAUAGGUGGGAGGCUGAGAGAUAGUGACGUCAGUUGCUAUGGAGCCGCUGUUGGGAUACCACCCUUGUGAUAUUGGGCUUCUAACCAGCCGCCGUGAACCGGCGGUGGGACAAUGCCAGGCGGGGAGUUUGGCUGGGGCGGUCGCCUCCGAAAGGGUAUCGGAGGCGCCCAAAGGUUCCCUCAGAAUGGACGGAAACCAUUCGAAGAGUGCAAAGGCAGAAGGGAGCUUGACUGCGACACCGACGGGUGGAGCAGGUACGAAAGUAGGGCUUAGUGAUCCGGUGGUAUUAAGUGGGAAUGCCAUCGCUCAACGGAUAAAAGCUACCCUGGGGAUAACAGGCUUAUCACUCCCAAGAGUUCACAUCGACGGAGUGGUUUGGCACCUCGAUGUCGGCUCAUCGCAUCCUGGGGCUGUAGCAGGUCCCAAGGGUUGGGCUGUUCGCCCAUUAAAGCGGUACGCGAGCUGGGUUCAGAACGUCGUGAGACAGUUCGGUCCCUAUCCGGCGUGGGCGCAGGAUAUCUGAGAGGAGCUGUCCUUAGUACGAGAGGACCGGGAUGGACGGACCGCUGGUGGACCGGUUGGCUUGCCAAAGCCAUGGCCGGGUAGCCAAGUCCGGAAGGGAUAAACGCUGAAGGCAUCUAAGCGUGAAGCCCCCCUCAAGAUGAGAUAUCCCAUUCUUUAAGAAGUAAACCCCCUUGAAGACGACGAGGUAGAUAGGGCAGAGGUGGAAGUGUGGUAACACAUGGAGCUGACUGUUACUAAUCGGGUGAGGGCUUGAUCA
Molecule: ribosomal RNA, 1473 nt
Filed under: metagenome
Description: bacterial LSU rRNA
Rfam family: Bacterial large subunit ribosomal RNA
Source: RNAcentral